RNAcentral lists this ribosomal RNA (495 nucleotides) under uncultured bacterium. RNAcentral's name for it is "bacterial SSU rRNA". It matches the Rfam family "Bacterial small subunit ribosomal RNA", at positions 28 to 503 of the family's 1533-position model. The record is from RNAcentral.
GACGAACGCUGGCGGCGUGCCUAACACAUGCAAGUCAAGGAGAAUUCCCGACUUGUCGGGAUAGUAAACUGGCGAACGGGUGAGUAACACGUAGGUAAUCUACCCUCGGGAUCGGGAUAACCUCGCGAAAGUGGGGAUAAUACCGAAUAAAGUCUCGGUAUAAUUUGUCGAGAUGAAAGAUGGGGAUCUUCGGACCUAUUACCUGAGGAUGAGCCUGCGCCUGAUUAGCUAGUUGGUAGGGUAAAUGCCUACCAAGGCAACGAUCAGUAGCUGGUCUGAGAGGAUGAUCAGCCACAUUGGGACUGAGAUACGGCCCAGACUCCUACGGGAGGCAGCAGUGAGGAAUUUUGCGCAAUGGGCGAAAGCCUGACGCAGCAACGCCGCGUGACUGAUUAAGCUCUGAGGAGUGUAAAAGUCUGUCGUAGAGGAAGAAACUAUCCGAUAAGAAUAUUGUCGGAUACUGACGGUACUCUAUGAGAAAGCUCCGGCUAACCG